Molecule: non-coding RNA, 72 nt
Organism: Ornithorhynchus anatinus (platypus)
Lineage: Eukaryota; Metazoa; Chordata; Mammalia; Monotremata; Ornithorhynchidae
Source: Rfam
GGCAGCGUGGCUAAGUGGAAAAAGCCCGGGCUUUGGAGUCAGAGGUCAUGAGUUUGAAUCCCAGCUCUGCCA